RNAcentral lists this ribosomal RNA (626 nucleotides) under uncultured bacterium. Its description in RNAcentral is "bacterial SSU rRNA". It matches the Rfam family "Bacterial small subunit ribosomal RNA", at positions 8 to 611 of the family's 1533-position model. The record is from RNAcentral.
AGAGUUUGAUCCUGGCUCAAAAUCAACGCUGGCGGCGUGCCUAACACAUGCAAGUCGAACGCGAAAGGGGCUUCGGCCCUGAGUAGAGUGGCGAACGGGUGAGUAACACGUGGGUGAUCUACCUUCGAGUGGGGGAUAACGUCCCGAAAGGGACGCUAAUACCGCAUGACGUUCUGGGUUUGAAGACCUGGAAACCAAAGCUGGGGACCGCAAGGCCUGGCGCUAAAAGAGGAGCCCGCGCCUGAUUAGCUAGUUGGCGGGGUAAUGGCCCACCAAGGCGACGAUCAGUAGCCGGCCUGAGAGGGCGGACGGCCACACUGGGACUGAGACACGGCCCACACUCCUACGGGAGGCAGCAGUGGGGAAUUGUUCGCAAUGGGCGCAAGCCUGACGACGCAACGCCGCGUGGAGGGAUGAAGGCCUUCGGGUCGUACACUCCUGUUGAUCGGGAAGAGUGGGCUCCGGGUAAAUAUCCCGGAGCAGUGACGGUACCGAUUGAGGAAGCCACGGCUAUCUCUGUGCCAGCAGCCGCGGUAAUACAGAGGUGGCAAGCGUUGUUCAGGAAUUACUGGGCGUAAAGGGCGCGUAGGUGGCCUUCUUAGUCAGACGUGACAUCCCCAGGCUUA